RNAcentral lists this long non-coding RNA (264 nucleotides) under Struthio camelus australis. RNAcentral's name for it is "lncRNA (ENSSCUG00000005112.1)". Lineage: Eukaryota; Metazoa; Chordata; Aves; Struthioniformes; Struthionidae. The record is from RNAcentral.
CUUACAACGAAGGGGAUUACUACAACAGAGGUCUGUUUCUUAUAAAUUUUUGGAAUAAUGAAGAAGAAUAGACCUACAGAAUAGAAGAAUAGAUCAUAUAUCACUGAACAAAACAGUUCCGCAGCCCAUUUUGAUGUCAAUAUAAUUGACUGCAGCAGAGUUGGAAACAGGAAAGAACAUGCAUAUAUACAUAUACUUCCCCCUACACCGCAGACUUCAUGAUACACGAAGAUAGGAAGAUUCGCUUUCAAAAAUGAUGCACUU